RNAcentral lists this ribosomal RNA (403 nucleotides) under uncultured prokaryote. RNAcentral describes it as "bacterial SSU rRNA". It matches the Rfam family "Bacterial small subunit ribosomal RNA", at positions 355 to 776 of the family's 1533-position model. The record is from RNAcentral.
UGGGGAAUAUUGCACAAUGGGCGAAAGCCUGAUGCAGCAACGCCGCGUGAGCGAUGAAGGCCUUCGGGUCGUAAAGCUCUGUCCUCAAGGAAGAUAAUGACGGUACUUGAGGAGGAAGCCCCGGCUAACUACGUGCCAGCAGCCGCGGUAAUACGUAGGGGGCAAGCGUUAUCCGGAAUUAUUGGGCGUAAAGGGUGCGUAGGUGGUUACCUAAGCGCAGGGUUUAAGGCAAUGGCUCAACCAUUGUUCGCCUUGCGAACUGGGCUACUUGAGUGCAGGAGAGGAAAGCGGAAUUCCUAGUGUAGCGGUGAAAUGCGUAGAUAUUAGGAGGAACACCAGCGGCGAAGGCGGCUUUCUGGACUGUAACUGACACUGAGGCACGAAAGCGUGGGGAGCAAACAGG